Molecule: ribosomal RNA, 253 nt
Filed under: uncultured bacterium
Lineage: Bacteria
Description: partial 16S ribosomal RNA
Rfam family: Bacterial small subunit ribosomal RNA
Source: RNAcentral
GACGGAGGAUGCAAGUGUUAUCCGGAAUCACUGGGCGUAAAGCGUCUGUAGGUGGUUUAAUAAGUCAACUGUUAAAUCUUGAGGCUCAACUUCAAAAUCGCAGUCGAAACUAUUAGACUAGAGUAUAGUAGGGGUAAAGGGAAUUUCCAGUGGAGCGGUGAAAUGCGUAGAGAUUGGAAAGAACACCAAUGGCGAAAGCACUUUACUGGGCUAUCACUGACACUGGGAGACGAAAGCUAGGGUAGCAAAUGGG